UCCCUGAUGUUCUAGUGGUCAGGAUUCGGCGCUCUCACCGCUGAGACCUGAGUUUGAUUCCCGGGCAGGGAA
RNAcentral lists this transfer RNA (72 nucleotides) under Danionella translucida. It matches the Rfam family "tRNA". Rfam says of the family: Transfer RNA (tRNA) molecules are approximately 80 nucleotides in length. Their secondary structure includes four short double-helical elements and three loops (D, anti-codon, and T loops). RNAcentral also lists the same sequence under 1 other name. Lineage: Eukaryota; Metazoa; Chordata; Actinopteri; Cypriniformes; Danionidae. The record is from Rfam by way of RNAcentral.